This 107-nucleotide small nucleolar RNA is filed under the name Gossypium hirsutum (cotton). RNAcentral describes it as "Plant small nucleolar RNA R71". It matches the Rfam family "Plant small nucleolar RNA R71". Rfam says of the family: R71 is a member of the C/D box family of snoRNAs containing the C (UGAUGA) and D (CUGA) box motifs. The record is from Rfam by way of RNAcentral. Lineage: Eukaryota; Viridiplantae; Streptophyta; Magnoliopsida; Malvales; Malvaceae.
AUCCCGUGGUGAGGGCACCUUCUCAAUAGAUCUUUGUAUCUCUCUCAUGUAUCUUAGAGUGUUUCUAAAUCCAUCUGCACAAAAAAAGAAAUAUCAUUCAUUAAUUU